RNAcentral lists this non-coding RNA (30 nucleotides) under Rattus norvegicus (Norway rat). Lineage: Eukaryota; Metazoa; Chordata; Mammalia; Rodentia; Muridae. The record is from RNAcentral.
UGUGACCUGAUGUGUUGACCUGGUGUCUAU